This 835-nucleotide long non-coding RNA is filed under the name Pongo abelii (Sumatran orangutan). Its description in RNAcentral is "lincRNA". Lineage: Eukaryota; Metazoa; Chordata; Mammalia; Primates; Hominidae. The record is from RNAcentral.
AUAGAGCCGGAGCUUCAGGCUUCAGGGAGGGACAAUUGCCGUCAAAAGUCGUCAUGCCCGGGAGCAGGUGUUGCUCAGAAUUGUGAAGACGUUAUGAACCAAGGUGACUUGACUCCAGAGUUACAACCCCACUAAUGAGAAGCAAUCUGAUGGAGGGCAAUUUUUUAAUCUUUCACAUCAUCACUGUGGACAGUAAAUGCAAUUCUGUGCCUACAUUUUGUUAAGAAAGGAGCCAUCUACACAUCCAGGGGAAGACUGGCAGCAUCCAAACAGAUGAUGCACCAUCUUAAAACACAAUUGCCUGCCAUCCAGUGUGGCUCUUUUUGUUGUGUAUGAAGAGCUAUAUGCUUUCAGGAGAAGCACAACUCACACUUGUUGAAUUAAACAAGAGGCUCGGGGUGUUUUGCCAAGUACUCCAGAGACUGGUUCUACUCUCACACAGGAAGAAAUUUGAGGAAUGCUAGGCACCAAGGACAAACAGCCUCAUGGAAAAUCAAGGGAUCUGCUUCCCAGACAAGACCAUUGGAAUGCCUAGAGCUCCAUGCAAUUUUCUGUGUCCUGACAACCUCCCCAACCUGAGUUUCCUUCAAGCCCACCACCUGAGCCAUCUGAGCAAGUUGAGCUAGGCUGAAGCUCCAACGCUGUCACACUUUAUAUUGUAUAUAGAACAAGAAUAGAUGGACUUCCCCUUAUGUAGGUGGUACUUGUCAUCUUUAAUUCUUAUGGAUGAGGGAUGUUUUCCUUUAGUAGAAACAUAAACACAUAGCAAUGCCCCUUUCCCCACUCAGGAGAUGUGCAUUCACUUUUAAAAUAGCUGCUGUUAUUUAGUAUUCAU